RNAcentral lists this transfer RNA (67 nucleotides) under human gut metagenome. It matches the Rfam family "tRNA". Rfam says of the family: Transfer RNA (tRNA) molecules are approximately 80 nucleotides in length. Their secondary structure includes four short double-helical elements and three loops (D, anti-codon, and T loops). The record is from RNAcentral.
CGGGUGUAGCUCAGUGGCAGAGCGCCGGCUUCCCAAGCCGGUUAUGUGGGUUCGAUUCCCAUCACCC